Molecule: long non-coding RNA, 237 nt
Filed under: Lathyrus oleraceus (garden pea)
Lineage: Eukaryota; Viridiplantae; Streptophyta; Magnoliopsida; Fabales; Fabaceae
Description: Pisum sativum (pea) long non-coding RNA (PSAT_LNC036725)
Source: RNAcentral
AAUUUUCAGCCUGUUUUUGUCUUUUGUCUUUUUUUAUUUAUUAUUUUCUUCUUCUUAGUUUAUCUAUUUACUUUUGUUCUUUCUUUUAUUUCCAUUAGUUUUUUUAAUUCUUUUACCUUUUGUGUUGAUAGUGUACACCCUCCCUUGCAUUUUCUUUUAUUAUUCUUUGUUUUUUUUGUUUUUUUGUUUUAUUUUCUCAACAUUAUUCACGCCUUUGAUCUCGAUUAUGUCAUCUUG